Long non-coding RNA from Bufo gargarizans (Asiatic toad), 4337 nucleotides. RefSeq lists it as uncharacterized. The record is from RefSeq and is a predicted model, not a curated record. Lineage: Eukaryota; Metazoa; Chordata; Amphibia; Anura; Bufonidae. The transcript is spliced from 2 exons.
GGGUCAGAACCAGGGUUUUGUAUAGCCUCUUGGUUAUUAGUUUUUCCAUUCAUAAACCUCCACAUUGAGCUCCCAGAAGCAGAUAGAAGCCUGCAGCGCAUGCUGGGACUUCUGGUGUGACAUCACCUGGGCACAUGGUCUUUGCUCAGCCAAGGCUUCGUUUUUGCCAUGCUUUCCCUUCAUCAGCAGUGCUUCAUCCGCAGCCGGGGGUGGCGGGCGCCCCCCAUUUUCAUAAUAACUGUGUACAGCGCGCGGGAGAAUGGGGGUGUGAGAGGAGCAGCCAAUGGCAUGGCCACCCGCUGAUACUGGAAAUCAGCAGCCUCCUCCCUAAUAACAGCUCUGUACGGAGCUCUGUUAUUGGAGCUUUCAGGCAACAGCAGUAUUGCUGUACUGCCUGUGCCGCUCACAGCGCUGAUGAAUGGCACUGAAAUUAUUGUGCAUAUUCAUACGCAUUAGACUUUGCCUGUACAGGCAUCUAUGAGGCUUGUACAAGUGUUUUUGUGACCUCUGGAGAAGAAUGAUGAGAAAUCUUGACUGGGUCCUGGUGCAGCAGUUGUGGAGAACCAAAAUGUUCUGGCUAGUCAGAUGCCGGUGACCUCAUCAGCACCAAAUGUCCUUAUGAGAGGUCUGAGUGGACAGAGUAUUGCUAGAUGUGAGCAAUGUGCUUCUGGGCGGUAAUACAGGGCAGGAAAAGUUGUGGCCUACAACGUCAGCUUGCCAGUAGUCUCUGCCCAGUACGCUGGAACAGUCCUGAUGCGGAAGGUGAGGGUUUCAGAUGGUCAGGAGGGCUUAGAUGACCUUCAUAAUAGCAGUUUGAUAAAUACCAAGGAUGAGCCAUGUGUGCAAUCUCGCUAGGCUGCAGGUCUUAAGUCUUCUUAAUCUUGUAUAAGAAGGAUCUGAGAGGGAAGAUGAAUGUUACAGGAAGGGUUCUAGCUGCUGUUAGGGCCAGGGAUUGAACACAUCUUAGCCACCUAAGUAGCCAUGUGGAAAGUCCUAAUCUGUGGUUGACAGCCUUCCUUGUAUACAUAGAUUACUGUCACUUGGAACUCAGAAAGAGCAGAGAUGUAAAUGAAUAUAUAUUUUUAGAUUUUUUUUCUCAAGCUUUUCAAAUAAAUGAUAUAUCAAUCUGCUCAGGUCGUUCUGCUCUAUAGCAUGUUCCCUGCAGAUGGUGUUGAUUUUCUGACACAUAUUUACAAGAGGGUAUGUAGCAGAAAUCCAAAGCUGACACUCGGAUUUCUUCCACUGAUGUGCAGUUUAAUAUGCCACAGAUCCACAUUCAGUGGGGCUGACACUGAGCGGUUUAUUUUCCAGAGCAUGUAAAGGGGGUCACUAUUACCCCAUUCCCAUGCAUUGGGGUGGGUUCUAAUAGGAUUUUAGUGUAAAAUCAGCUUUAAAUUCACAGCGUGUGAACGGGCCCUAAUUGUUUGUAACACUGCGAGUCGCUUGAAGUCGUCAUUCAUGUCCCUUAUAUUCCAAACCAAAAUUGUCAUUCAGCAAAGCAAAAAUACCUGCGCCCUAUUUCAGCCCAAACAUAGAGCAAGUCCUGAAUCCCUAAACAAAUCCCUCUUCAUGCAGCCAUGUUGUUCUACCCUCAUAAAGUCAUUAUUGCUAGCUCUACUGGUACAUAAGAAUGUAUAUUUUAUGUCUAAGGCUACUUUCACACUCGCGUUUCACGGAUCCAUUUGAAACGGAUCCGUCACACAACUGACAAAACUGAGACGAAAGAAAACAAUUUAAACGGAUCAGUCUGUAAAGCGGAUCCGUUGGUCACAUUUGUUUCAGUUUUGGCUUCCAUUUAGCGGAUCCGUUUUGUAAUAAGAAGGUGUGUUUAAAAAGUGUCCACCCACUUUUACAGUGUAUUAAAGUAGGGAUUAAUCCAUUUAGGCUCUUUGUGUAUUGGUAACAUGUUGCCUGCACACAUACGCCUGCGAUUGGCGUUACUUAUCCUGUAAGCGAGAUGGAGAAGACGUGCCCAGGAAAGAAGAAGAUGCCGGUAUUGGGUGCACCCGAUAACUUCCAAACACAUCACCAGAGGUGUAUUUUCAGUCCUGUAUUUGGAGCUUCGUCGUAAUCCUAAAUCAGUUUUCAAUUAUAUGCGCAUGACUGUCAAGGGUUAUGACCAGCUACUGCAGCGCAUUUCGACAAGCCUUGAAAGACACGAUACCCGCUACAGAAGGGCAAUUACUCCUGCAGAGCGACUAACGGUGACAAUAAGGUUUUUUGCUACCGGAGAAAGUCUUUCAUCGCUGCAUUACCAGUAUCGGAUGGGAAUUUCAACAAUCUCUGGUAUAGUCUGCGAUACUCGUUGUGCCUUGUGGGAGGUAUUGCACGAGGAUUACAUCCCACAUCCUACAACAGAACAGUGACGUCAGAUCGUAGACAACAAGUUUCUGCAAACCUGACUGUGUCGGAGGUGUGGAUGGGGAAACCUAUACGGAUUGUGAAACCUUCAGGAAGUGGCUCUGAAUUCUAUAACUACAACUAAUAUAUUUUUCAAUUAUCUUGAUGGCCUUUGCGGAUGCUGAAUACCGCCGUUGACAUUGGAGCUUAUGGGCAGACAAAUGACUUGAUGGCUUUAAAAAAAAUCUGCAAUGGGACGCCUCCUGUAUUCAAAGGACUUUGGAUUGCCAGCACCGAGACCUUUGCCAGGAACUGAUGGACCUCCAAUGCCAUUUGUGGUAGUAGGGGACAAGGCCUUCCAAAUGUGCGAGAACCUCAUCAAGCCAUACUCUAGCUGCGACUUGAACCCUGCAAAGCGUGUUUUUAACUACAGACUGUCAUGAGUUAGACAACUUGCUGAGUGCGCUUUUGGCAUUUUAGUUGCGAAAUGGCGUAUUCUCACCAAAGCCAUCAAUCUUAAGGUUGAAACCUAGACUAUGUAGUUAAAGCCUGUGUAGUUCUACAUAACUAUCUUUUUAUCAGAGGAACCACUGCACCUGGACCUGCAGGAGGUUGAUUGCACACUUACCAAGCUGCAACAUCUGGGGUAUCGUUCAACCCUUGCCGUGGCCUGAAUGAGGGACAGUUUUACUGAUUAUGAAGCUUCUGAAGCUGGCAGAGUGAGUUGGCAGAAUAAUUUUGUUUAAUUGUUGUUUAAAAUGUUUGGUCUUCUAUAAAAAAAAAAAUGGGGUAUACACCUUGUGUCUUUUUUUUUAUUUAUUUUUUGCUCAGCACCAAGAAUGCUUCUAAAAUGGUGAUUAUAUUAUAGCAUCACUGCAGCAAGGUCCAGAUACUCGGUGGUGGCAUUAUGCAGCAUUAUGCAGUACAUGGCAUCAUUAUGCUGUGCAUGUUGUGCUGCACACUGGGCAAUUUCCCCGCACUCAUAUGAUCUUAUGAGUGCGGGACUACAGCCCCGCAGGCAGCCGGACGUGCACAGCAUCUUUGUAGUCUAUGAUGCUGUGUACUCAUGUGCGCAAGAUCAAUGCGGCUCCGGGACAUAUGUCCAGCAUGUCGGGGGGGUAUCGAUUGUGUGCAAGAGGCAUUAACUGCAUUAUGUCCCUUGUGAUAAUCAAGCUAGUCAUGUGAGAGCGUCAUCUGGAAAUCGCGAACUAAACACUAAAAUUACAAUGUAGUGCUCUUUAGGUAAUGAAUUCACUGUGAUGCUGAUUCGCAUGGACCGUGACUCCCACAAGGGCUCAUGUGAACGGGCACAAGAUUGACCUAUGAUCAAGCAAAUGCUUGUUCAUAUACCAAUCGGAGGGAAUACGAUCAAUAAGGAGGCAAAAGAUAGCUCAUUAUUAACGGUGCUACAUGACAUGUUAAUGGUUCAGCCACCUUUGGCAAUACGGCCGUUUUGAAAUCAAAACUAUCAAGGGCGUUAUAAUAAAUGCAAAGUGGUUAGCCAAUGGUAGAUUUAAUUUUACUGCAACUGUAGUGCCAAAGGGUGCUAAUCCCCUGUUACAGACAAUGAAAACACACACAGUCAAGUAAACUAUAUAUUUUUUUAUUUGCAGAAACAAUAUAUAUAUAUAUAUAUAUAUAAAUAAUAACAGUAAAAUAAAAUAAACUAUAACUGAUGAUAUCUUGAAGGGGAGGUGGACUAUUGCGGGUGGAAUGUCUAGGGCUGGCAAGGCUAGCCCCCUGUCCUCUGGAUAGGCAUAAACAAACAUUACGGGCCCCAGGAAAAGAUGCAGGGCGAAUUUUUGGGGUGUGGAGAGUGGAAGGUUCUGAGGUGGAGGAGGGAGUUUGAAACUAAGUUGGAGGAAAAUAGUGGGGAGGAGAAGUGAAAAACUAAACAAAAGGGAACACAUGCGCGGGGGGGGGGGGGGUUCGGGGGCGAUUAGUUGACAGGGAUGUGGGAUAGGUUGGGGAUUGAGAUUGGGGGAGGUGCAUAUAUA